RNAcentral lists this ribosomal RNA (492 nucleotides) under uncultured bacterium. Its description in RNAcentral is "partial 16S ribosomal RNA". It matches the Rfam family "Bacterial small subunit ribosomal RNA", at positions 29 to 507 of the family's 1533-position model. The record is from RNAcentral.
AGUGAACGCUGGCGGUAGGCCUAACACAUGCAAGUCGAACGGCAGCACAGUAAGAGCUUGCUCUUACGGGUGGCGAGUGGCGGACGGGUGAGGAAUACAUCGGAAUCUACUUUUUCGUGGGGGAUAACGUAGGGAAACUUACGCUAAUACCGCAUACGACCUACGGGUGAAAGCAGGGGAUCUUCGGACCUUGCGCGAUUGAAUGAGCCGAUGUCGGAUUAGCUAGUUGGCGGGGUAAAGGCCCACCAAGGCGGCGAUCCGUAGCUGGUCUGAGAGGAUGAUCAGCCACACUGGAACUGAGACACGGUCCAGACUCCUACGGGAGGCAGCAGUGGGGAAUAUUGGACAAUGGGCGCAAGCCUGAUCCAGCCAUACCGCGUGGGUGAAGAAGGCCUUAGGGUUGUAAAGCCCUUUUGUUGGGAAAGAAAAGCAGCAGGUUAAUACCCCGCUGUUCUGACGGUACCCAAAGAAUAAGCACCGGCUAACUUCGUG